This 448-nucleotide ribosomal RNA is filed under the name Fusarium proliferatum. RNAcentral's name for it is "eukaryotic LSU rRNA". The stretch from base 68 to 221 matches the Rfam family "5.8S ribosomal RNA". The record is from RNAcentral. Lineage: Eukaryota; Fungi; Ascomycota; Sordariomycetes; Hypocreales; Nectriaceae.
GCCCGCCAGAGGACCCCUAAACUCUGUUUCUAUAUGUAACUUCUGAGUAAAACCAUAAAUAAAUCAAAACUUUCAACAACGGAUCUCUUGGUUCUGGCAUCGAUGAAGAACGCAGCAAAAUGCGAUAAGUAAUGUGAAUUGCAGAAUUCAGUGAAUCAUCGAAUCUUUGAACGCACAUUGCGCCCGCCAGUAUUCUGGCGGGCAUGCCUGUUCGAGCGUCAUUUCAACCCUCAAGCCCUCGGGUUUGGUGUUGGGGAUCGGCGAGCCCUUGCGGCAAGCCGGCCCCGAAAUCUAGUGGCGGUCUCGCUGCAGCUUCCAUUGCGUAGUAGUAAAACCCUCGCAACUGGUACGCGGCGCGGCCAAGCCGUUAAACCCCCAACUUCUGAAUGUUGACCUCGGAUCAGGUAGGAAUACCCGCUGAACUUAAGCAUAUCAAUAAGCGGAGGAA